This 319-nucleotide ribosomal RNA is filed under the name uncultured fungus. RNAcentral's name for it is "eukaryotic LSU rRNA". The stretch from base 1 to 71 matches the Rfam family "5.8S ribosomal RNA", at positions 84 to 154 of the family's 154-position model. The record is from RNAcentral. Lineage: Eukaryota; Fungi.
GUGAGUCAUCGAAUCUUUGAACGCACCUUGCGCUCUCUGGUAUUCCGGAGAGCAUGCCUGUUUGAGUGUCAUGAACUCUUCAACCCACCGGUUCCUUGUGAACCGAGUCGGUGUUUGGAUUUUGAGCUUUGCUAUUUGUUUAGCUAGCUCGUAAUGUAUUAGCAUCUUUCAAUUUCAUAAUCGGAUUGACUCAGCGUAAUAGACUAUUCGCUGAGGACACUUUUACUAGUGGCCGGUAAUGGAGAUAGAGAAGCUUCCAACUCUUCUAGUCAACUUUAGAUUAGACCUCAAAUCAGGCAGGAUUACCCGCUGAACUUAA